This 468-nucleotide ribosomal RNA is filed under the name uncultured bacterium. Its description in RNAcentral is "partial 16S ribosomal RNA". It matches the Rfam family "Bacterial small subunit ribosomal RNA", at positions 28 to 507 of the family's 1533-position model. The record is from RNAcentral.
GACGAACGCUGGCGGCGUGCUUAACACAUGCAAGUCGAACGGAAAGGCCCUGCUUUUGUGGGGUGCUCGAGUGGCGAACGGGUGAGUAACACGUGAGUAACCUGCCCUUGACUUUGGGAUAACUUCAGGAAACUGGGGCUAAUACCGGAUAGGAGCUCCUGCUGCAUGGUGGGGGGUGGAAAGUUUCGGCGGUUGGGGAUGGAUGCGCGGCUUAUCAGCUUGUUGGUGGGGUAGUGGCUUACCAAGGCUUUGACGGGUAGCCGGCCUGGGAGGGGGACCGGCCACAAUGGUACUGAGGUACGGCCCAGACUCCUACGGGAGGCAGCAGUGGGGAAUAUUGCACAAUGGGCGGAAGCCUGAUGCAGCAACGCCGCGUGCGGGAUGACGGCCUUCGGGUUGUAAACCGCUUUCGCCUGUGACGAAGCGUGAGUGACGGUAAUGGGUAAAGAAGCACCGGCUAACUACGUG